UGACUCUGCCACUCUGCUCUUGCCGG
Molecule: non-coding RNA, 26 nt
Filed under: Mus musculus (house mouse)
Lineage: Eukaryota; Metazoa; Chordata; Mammalia; Rodentia; Muridae
Source: RNAcentral